This 1775-nucleotide long non-coding RNA is filed under the name Androctonus crassicauda. Lineage: Eukaryota; Metazoa; Arthropoda; Arachnida; Scorpiones; Buthidae. The record is from RNAcentral.
ACCGGCGACAGCUGGUCGACCAGGUGGUGGACGUACGCGGACGCUAAUUUCCCGUUACAGGCGGCGGAGGUGGACCACAGUAUUGGUUUUUUGCCUCCCGGCCCCUUCACAGUCGAAGCGGCAGACCCUUCUUCCAGAUAUCCCUGUGCCAGUCUCCAGUCUCGGGCCUUCUGCUUUCUGGACUUCCGUCAACUGGGAGGAGACGAAAGUAAUUUCCGCCAGAGGCGGUAGACUUUUCCGACACGUGACUUCCGUCGGUAAACGAGAACCGGUCACGUGUCGGGACACGUCGACCCGAGGAGAAUUCACCAGCCGUUCGAGGCACACGAGAUACAAGAGAUUAUCGUCGCUUAGAAGAAAAGGCUAAUGUUCCGUUUCCGGAAUCGUUCCAAGACCGGAUAAUCGGCACGAAAGUACGUAACUUAGUUUUGCAGCUUAACUACGCCUCAGUCUUUUUUUUAUAAACGCUCGGGUUUAUCCGAUUUUCCGGCCAAAUCGAAGAAAAGGAUUAGCGUUAACGCGUUUUCGUAAAUCGAACGUGAUUGUUCCGUUGUUAAUCUGAUUCUCGUAUUACUUUCUGGACGAGUCUGGUGAAAACUGGGUCGGCUGGCUUUUGACCUUUCGUCGCAGCUAGCGCCACCAGGAAAGUCGGCACUCUUUUACGGGGAGACGGUAGAUGUUCGGUAUUUACGUGCAGCAGCUUUCCGCACGCGUUCGGAUCGCGGAGCGGUAGGUCAGCGUUUGCUCGCGACGCGCGACUCGCAUCGUAGCGGCAGCGCGAGAAAAACCAUUUUCGUAAGAACUUAUUUGACAUACCUGCUUAUAAAAAAAAACACGUGGAAUUUCUCCAGGACACGCAUCGGGCCUUACCGACGCGAGAAAAAAACCCUCAUUACAGCUGCCGGAAAAAAGCGUCCAGCGGCCAUUGUUCUGGCUGACUACUGGACUGUGCAGUCUCCGCCUCCACCUAUGACUGCAUUCUUCGACCGGACGAAUCUGCUUACUUUCUACCCUUCUACGGCCCGAAGUGUCCGAUAAAAUGUCUAGAGCAUUGUCUAGACUCGUUCCAUAGUUUCCAUUUCGUAGUUUUAAUUUCGUCAGAAAAAAAAAUUCCGCUUUUUUUUUCCUUAUAAAAGUUGUUUGCUUCUCUAUAAGAAAAUUCUUGUGCGGCAAAAAAAUAAAAAAAAAUAAAAAAAAUAUUGCCAAGUAUCGAGCCGAUGUCGUAAACGGGACAAUGCGGACUAGACGGCGCCAUUGUCUCGGAAGUCACGCGAUUUCAACUCUGUUCUAGCUUAUGAACGGGGUCUAUUGGGUUCCUCUCAUUCUGAUUCUCGAUUGUUUCUCUUCUUUUGCAAGAGUCUUUGUCGAGCCAUCCGAACAUCCUUUAGACUCUGUAGAAAUUAAACUGGUAGCCUUGAGUCCGCCGUUUUGUAGAUUAAGAGCCAUCAGGCAAGAAAGACAUUCCGGAAUUUUUUCCAUUUGUACUCCACAUUAUGUGAAAUGUUAAAGGUGAGGAAAUGAGUUGUUUGGAUGAUAAUCUGUUUCAAUGCAUUUGGAUAAAUUUGUCGUCCAAUCCAACAACACAGAAUGCUACAGGAAUUCGGGAUGUUCAAAUGCAAACAUUUAAUGGACGGGAAACAGUAAUUUUUAUCUCAGAAUUCCAAACGAAAAAAUCUCCAAUUUCUUAUCGAUAUUCAAUCAAAUUGAUUAGAAGCAAUUCAAUAAUUUUUUUGCUUGUUUUUCAAAUCUGAGUGUGAUUUUCUACUAGAACAGAC